RNAcentral lists this ribosomal RNA (505 nucleotides) under uncultured bacterium. RNAcentral describes it as "partial 16S ribosomal RNA". It matches the Rfam family "Bacterial small subunit ribosomal RNA", at positions 28 to 507 of the family's 1533-position model. The record is from RNAcentral.
GACGAACGCUGGCGGCGUGCCUAAUACAUGCAAGUCGAACGCACAGUUUAUACCGUAGCUUGCUACACCAUACACUGUGAGUUGCGAACGGGUGAGUAACGCGUAGGUAACCUGCCUGGUAGCGGGGGAUAACUAUUGGAAACGAUAGCUAAUACCGCAUAAUAUUGAUUAUUGCAUGAUAAUUGAUUGAAAGAUGCUAUUGCAUCACUACCAGAUGGACCUGCGUUGUAUUAGCUAGUAGGUGAGGUAACGGCUCACCUAGGCGACGAUACAUAGCCGACCUGAGAGGGUGAUCGGCCACACUGGGACUGAGACACGGCCCAGACUCCUACGGGAGGCAGCAGUAGGGAAUCUUCGGCAAUGGACGAAAGUCUGACCGAGCAACGCCGCGGGAGUGAAGAAGGGUGUCGGAUCGUAAAGCUCUGUUGUAAGAGAAGAACGGGUGUGAGAGUGGAAAGUUCACACUGUGACGGUAGCUUACCAGAAAGGGACGGCUAACUACGUG